Rhineura floridana is the source of this 566-nucleotide long non-coding RNA. RefSeq lists it as uncharacterized. The transcript has 3 exons. NCBI's taxonomy places the organism in Eukaryota, Metazoa, Chordata, Lepidosauria, Squamata, Rhineuridae. The record is from RefSeq and is a predicted model, not a curated record.
UACGGAGAUGACCCGGGCUGUAAACACGAUCGCUCCUGCACGCCCUCUCCUGUGUAGAGCUCAUACAGCUCCAUGGUAUACUCCGGAGCUGAGAGCGAUGAAGCAAGAUAGGAGGCGGCUUGAGCAGAAAUGGAGAUGAACUCCCGACGGAUACAAUUAUGCGCUGAAAUCAUAAGCACUGGCCAGAAGCAUGGAGUAUCAUAGAGGACAACCUAUCAUUUUCUGGGGUGUUUGAUUUGUCUUGGCCCAGAGCUGCUUUUGUGGUGCUGGUUUUAACCUAUCAAGCCUUACAUUGCUUGGGACCACAAUACCUGAUGGAACGCCUCUCCCGACAUGAACCCACCCGUACACUACACUCAACAUCCAAGGCCCUCCUCUGAGUGCCUACUCCGAGGGAAGCUCAGAGGCUGGCAACAAGGAAGAGGGCCUUCUCGGUGACCCCCAAAUUAUGGAAUGAUCUUUUUGACGAGGUGCACCUGGAGCCAACACUGUUAUCUUUUUGGCAUCAGGUUAAGACUUUCUUCUUCUCCCAGGCAUUUUAGCAUGUGUUUUUAAAUUGCUUUUAA